RNAcentral lists this ribosomal RNA (254 nucleotides) under uncultured bacterium. Its description in RNAcentral is "partial 16S ribosomal RNA". It matches the Rfam family "Bacterial small subunit ribosomal RNA", at positions 524 to 776 of the family's 1533-position model. The record is from RNAcentral.
UACGUAGGGUCCGAGCGUUGUCCGGAAUCACUGGGCGUAAAGCGCACGCAGGCGGAUCGUUAAGUCAGGGGUGAAAUCCCGAGGCUCAACCUCGGAACUGCCUUUGAUACUGGCGAUCUUUGAGUCCGGGAGAGGUGAGUGGAACUCCGAGUGUAGAGGUGAAAUUCGUAGAUAUUCGGAAGAACACCAGUGGCGAAGGCGGCUCACUGGCCCGGUACUGACGCUCAUGUGCGAAAGCGUGGGGAGCAAACAGG